AGGGAGCCCGCUCAGGCCUCAGCCAGCACAGAGAGGGGCUCCCACGGUGCAGCUGCGGGCUGAAGGGCUCCUGAAGCGCGGCCAGAGUGGGCUGAGGCCGAGGAGGCGCCGAGAGCCAGCGAGGGGAUGCCAGCAAGCUGUCACCUCUCAGAAAUACAGGAAGAACAUCAAUAAUGUUCGAAGUUAUAAAUUGCGGAGGCCAGAAGUCAGAAAACAAGGUGUCUGCAGGACCAACCUCUCCUCUGGAUGCUCUAGCCCAGGCAGUAAGAAAACAUAUCAGCUUCCACUUUUACCUUUAAGGAGAAGCCAGCUCCCAUGUUAAGAAGUUCAAAUACCUAGAGACUGCGAUGGUUUGCAGAGGCUCAAGCUAACCACAUGGAAAGACAUGGAGAGAUAUUCCUUGCCAACCCUCAACUACUCCAACUAUUCUAAGACAUCAAACCUAAAAACAAACCGCAGGUCACCCACCGGUCUGAAGAGGAGGAUGAGAGACAAAGAAAAAAGUUGUCUGGCUGCCUCUGCUGUCUACAGAUUGAAGAAGAUCCAUCCAGCUGAGCCCAGCCUAGACCAGCUGACUUCUCCAAUAAGCCUGUAUGAAAUAAAUGCUUAUUGUUAUGUGACCUUGAGCUUUGAAGAUAGUUUGUUAUGCAAUAAUU
RNAcentral lists this long non-coding RNA (656 nucleotides) under Homo sapiens (human). RNAcentral's name for it is "HSALNT0333399". Lineage: Eukaryota; Metazoa; Chordata; Mammalia; Primates; Hominidae. The record is from RNAcentral.